CAGCUUUCGACGGUAGGGUAUUGGCCUACCGUGGCAGUGACGGGUAACGGGGAAUUAGGGUUCGAUUCCGGAGAGGGAGCCUGAGAAACGGCUACCACAUCUAAGGAAGGCAGCAGGCGCGCAAAUUACCCAAUGAAAACAGUUUCGAGGUAGUGACGAGAAAUAACAAUACAGGGCAUUAUAUGCUUUGUAAUUGGAAUGAUGGGAAUGUAAAACCCUCCCAGAGUAACAAUUGGAGGGCAAGUCUGGUGCCAGCAGCCGCGGUAAUUCCAGCUCCAAUAGUGUAUAUUAGAGUUGUUGCAGUUAAAAAGCUCGUAGUUGGAUUUCUGUCGUGGCUAUCUGGUAACGCCCGUAUGGGUGUGCACCGUGAUAGACCAUGGCAUUCUUCCGGUAGCUUCAACCGCGCUUUGGUGCGUGGUAGAUGUUCCGGAACUUUUACUUUGAGAAAAAUAGAGUGUUUCAAGCAGGCUUGUCGCCCUGAAUACUGCAGCAUGGAAUAAUAAGAUAGGACCUUGGUUCUAUUUUGUUGGCUUCUAGGACCGAGGUAAUGAUUAAUAGGGACAGUUGGGGGCAUUCGUAUUUAACUGUCAGAGGU
This 595-nucleotide ribosomal RNA is filed under the name Isospora sp. RNAcentral describes it as "SSU rRNA". It matches the Rfam family "Eukaryotic small subunit ribosomal RNA", at positions 316 to 912 of the family's 1831-position model. Lineage: Eukaryota; Apicomplexa; Conoidasida; Eucoccidiorida; Eimeriidae. The record is from RNAcentral.